UUAAGCGAAAGUUCGGCUUGAGUUGACCUCAUUGGCAGCCAUAGGAAGUAAAUAAGAAGAGAGGAGAAUGAGAAGGAGAAAGAAGAAAAAGAAUAAAAGGGAAGAGGAAACGAUGUAACACUUAGAUUUUCUCUUGUAAAAGUGACAUUGCAAUUGUAGAUUUUUUGAGUUUUAAGAUUCUCUUCACUUAGGUUUCUUUUGCUUAUUUUAUCAUUUCCUUUUGUAAAUACAAACAUGAGUGAGUAAUUAUCUUGAGAUUUUAGAGUUGGGUGUAAUGUUUUAAAUUUAUUUAUGAAUUUGGACUAUGUUUUAUCUAGA
This 318-nucleotide unclassified non-coding RNA is filed under the name Hevea brasiliensis (rubber tree). Lineage: Eukaryota; Viridiplantae; Streptophyta; Magnoliopsida; Malpighiales; Euphorbiaceae. The record is from RNAcentral.